RNAcentral lists this ribosomal RNA (463 nucleotides) under Vreelandella stevensii. RNAcentral's name for it is "partial 16S ribosomal RNA". It matches the Rfam family "Bacterial small subunit ribosomal RNA", at positions 338 to 794 of the family's 1533-position model. The record is from RNAcentral. Lineage: Bacteria; Pseudomonadati; Pseudomonadota; Gammaproteobacteria; Oceanospirillales; Halomonadaceae.
CCUACGGGGGGCAGCAGUGGGGAAUAUUGGACAAUGGGCGAAAGCCUGAUCCAGCCAUGCCGCGUGUGUGAAGAAGGCCUUCGGGUUGUAAAGCACUUUCAGUGGGGAAGAAAGCCUUGGGGCUAAUACCCUCGAGGAAGGACAUCACCCACAGAAGAAGCACCGGCUAACUCCGUGCCAGCAGCCGCGGUAAUACGGAGGGUGCGAGCGUUAAUCGGAAUUACUGGGCGUAAAGCGCGCGUAGGCGGUCUGAUAAGCCGGUUGUGAAAGCCCCGGGCUCAACCUGGGAACGGCAUCCGGAACUGUCAGGCUAGAGUGCAGGAGAGGAAGGUAGAAUUCCCGGUGUAGCGGUGAAAUGCGUAGAGAUCGGGAGGAAUACCAGUGGCGAAGGCGGCCUUCUGGACUGACACUGACGCUGAGGUGCGAAAGCGUGGGUAGCAAACAGGAUUAGAUACCGGGUAUC